CACCCUUGUGACAUACCUAUUACGUUCCCUCGGCGGUGCUGUUGGCGCUUCGGCGUCAGGCCCGCCAGAGGACAACCCAAACUCUUGUUUUUUUAUAAAGAAUCUUCUGAGUGAAAACAAACAAUAAAUCAAAACUUUCAACAACGGAUCUCUUGGUUCUGGCAUCGAUGAAGAACGCAGCGAAAUGCGAUAAGUAAUGUGAAUUGCAGAAUUCAGUGAAUCAUCGAAUCUUUGAACGCACAUUGCGCCCGCCAGUAUUCUGGCGGGCAUGCCUGUUCGAGCGUCAUUUCAACCCUCGAGCCCCUCUGGGCUUGGUGUUGGGGACCGGCAGGGCGUCGCUUCGGCGGCGCGCCGUCCCCCAAAUCUAGUGGCGGUCUCGCUGUAGCCAACUCUGCGUAGUAGUAACAUCUCGCACUGGAAGCUCGGCGCGGCCACGCCGUAAAACCCCCAACUUUUUUUUGGUUGACCUCGAAUCAGGUAGGACUACCCGCUGAACUUAAGCAUAUCAAUAAGCGGAGGAA
RNAcentral lists this ribosomal RNA (521 nucleotides) under fungal sp. HS-EF16. RNAcentral's name for it is "eukaryotic LSU rRNA". The stretch from base 133 to 286 matches the Rfam family "5.8S ribosomal RNA". Lineage: Eukaryota; Fungi. The record is from RNAcentral.